This 229-nucleotide long non-coding RNA is filed under the name Eucalyptus grandis. RNAcentral's name for it is "long non-coding RNA (EGRA_LNC005471)". The record is from RNAcentral. Lineage: Eukaryota; Viridiplantae; Streptophyta; Magnoliopsida; Myrtales; Myrtaceae.
UCGACGAUGGAGUUCAAUAUAUCGUUGUCUUCAUCCAGCAGAUGUGGAGGAGGCGGCUCAGCAUCCAUAUCAAAAUCCUGCCAUUUGAUGUCGCAUUUCGCGUGGUCGACGCCGGCCAUUGCCAGUGCUUCGAUCGACAUAUGGCUUCUUUGAUUUCUCUGGACCUGCGAAGGAUUUCUCUUUUCUUGGUGAUGUUGAGCAAGAGACAGAAUUGCCAAUGUGUAGAGAG